RNAcentral lists this transfer RNA (82 nucleotides) under Enterobius vermicularis (human pinworm). It matches the Rfam family "tRNA". Rfam says of the family: Transfer RNA (tRNA) molecules are approximately 80 nucleotides in length. Their secondary structure includes four short double-helical elements and three loops (D, anti-codon, and T loops). The record is from Rfam by way of RNAcentral. Lineage: Eukaryota; Metazoa; Nematoda; Chromadorea; Rhabditida; Oxyuridae.
GCAGCGAUGUCCGAGUGGUUAAGGAGUUUGACUCGAAAUCAAAUGAGCUCUGCCCGCGCAGGUUCGAAUCCUGCUCGCUGCG